This 170-nucleotide unclassified non-coding RNA is filed under the name Bombyx mandarina (wild silkworm). RNAcentral's name for it is "retinoid-inducible serine carboxypeptidase-like, transcript variant X1". The record is from RNAcentral. Lineage: Eukaryota; Metazoa; Arthropoda; Insecta; Lepidoptera; Bombycidae.
UUAGUAAUUAACAGAUUAGUAGAAGGCUAUUUCAGGGAAACUCCGAGAUUGUCAUUCUAUUGGAUGAACGCGGCUGGUCAAUCGGUUCCACUUGACACCCCACUAGCAAUGCGACGGAUUUUGGACAGGAUAACACAACCCAAAUGAUAUUAAAAAAAUAAUUAAGGACA